This 450-nucleotide ribosomal RNA is filed under the name uncultured bacterium. Its description in RNAcentral is "partial 16S ribosomal RNA". It matches the Rfam family "Bacterial small subunit ribosomal RNA", at positions 338 to 795 of the family's 1533-position model. The record is from RNAcentral.
CCUACGGGUGGCAGCAGUAAGGAAUAUUGGUCAAUGGACGCAAGUCUGAACCAGCCAUGCCGCGUGGAGGAUUAAGGCCCUCUGGGUUGUAAACUCCUUUUAUCUGGGAAGAAAUGUGACGAUUCUUCGGCACUUGACGGUACCAGAGGAAUAAGCACCGGCUAACUCCGUGCCAGCAGCCGCGGUAAUACGGAGGGUGCAAGCUUUAUCCGGAUUCACUGGGUUUAAAGGGUGCAGGUGUGUGCGGGUAGAGAUCUCCGGGCUUAACCCGGAAACUGCCGUUGAUACUACUUGUCUUGAAUAUUGUGGAGGUAAGCGGAAUAUGUCAUGUAGCGGUGAAAUGCUUAGAUAUGACAUAGAACACCAAUUGCGAAGGCAGCUUACUACACAAUCAUUGACGCUGAGGCACGAAAGCGUGGGGAUCAAACAGGAUUAGAUACCCCAGUAGUC